This is a non-coding RNA of Poecilia reticulata (guppy), 518 nucleotides long. NCBI's taxonomy places the organism in Eukaryota, Metazoa, Chordata, Actinopteri, Cyprinodontiformes, Poeciliidae. The record is from RefSeq and is a predicted model, not a curated record.
UGCUGCCAAGAAAAAUAACAAAGUCAGGUUUACAAAAAGAGAAACAGAAAAAGACAAGAGUGUCUAUUUGUAACCCAGAUUUUCUCCAAUAGAGGUGAGUCAGACAGCAGCAGCUCUAACCUCGAUGCCAGCAUAACCUUUAACCCGUCCCAGUGAAAAAGGGUUGCAUCCCGUCAGCCUCUUGAGGUGCCGAAUCUUUGCCUGGAGCUAGAGGCGGCGCGGUCCAUUCAUCAAAAGCAUGACCCGCUACAGUCAGGGACAGGAUGCCAUGGUGUAAUGAACGUACCUGUGUCAUAUCUCUGCACAUGCGGAAAGGGAAGCUUUACUUAUUACUGGGUAUUAUGACACAGUAACACAUUGUUAAUGCUCAUUCUAAAAAAGAAGGGAUAUCAGCUAAAAUAUCAGCUGAAAUGCUUUAAUGCCUUUAAUGUUGCGGGAGUGAUUUUAAGGAAAUAAGUUCUGUCAUUCAACCCUUUUUUUUACAUCUCCUAAAACAUGUCUUUCUAAUAAAUAUAUUG